UCCGGCGUAGCUCAACGGCAGAGCAAUCGGCUGUUAACCGAUAGGUUGUAGGUUCGAAUCCUACCGCCGGAGCCA
This 75-nucleotide transfer RNA is filed under the name Rhodospirillales bacterium. RNAcentral's name for it is "tRNA-Asn". It matches the Rfam family "tRNA". From Rfam's summary of the family: Transfer RNA (tRNA) molecules are approximately 80 nucleotides in length. Lineage: Bacteria; Pseudomonadati; Pseudomonadota; Alphaproteobacteria; Rhodospirillales. The record is from RNAcentral.